GCGUGGGUACCGAAGUGGUCAAACGGGACUGACUGUAGAUCAGUUGGCUUACGCCUUCGGGGGUUCGAAUCCCUCCCCACGCA
This 83-nucleotide transfer RNA is filed under the name Parcubacteria group bacterium. RNAcentral's name for it is "tRNA-Tyr". It matches the Rfam family "tRNA". From Rfam's summary of the family: Transfer RNA (tRNA) molecules are approximately 80 nucleotides in length. Their secondary structure includes four short double-helical elements and three loops (D, anti-codon, and T loops). Further hydrogen bonds mediate the characteristic L-shaped molecular structure. tRNAs have two regions of fundamental functional importance: the anti-codon, which is responsible for specific mRNA codon recognition, and the 3' end, to which the tRNAs corresponding amino acid is attached (by aminoacyl-tRNA synthetases). tRNAs cope with the degeneracy of the genetic code in two manners: having more than one tRNA (with a specific anti-codon) for a particular amino acid; and 'wobble' base-pairing, i.e. permitting non-standard base-pairing at the 3rd anti-codon position. The record is from RNAcentral.